This 140-nucleotide ribosomal RNA is filed under the name uncultured eukaryote. Its description in RNAcentral is "partial 18S ribosomal RNA". It matches the Rfam family "Eukaryotic small subunit ribosomal RNA", at positions 1299 to 1458 of the family's 1831-position model. The record is from RNAcentral.
UGGUGGAGUGAUUUGUCUGGUUAAUUCCGUUAACGAACGAGACCUCGACCUACUAAAUAGUUAAGUAAACUCUUCGGGUUUACGCUGACUUCUUAGAGGGACUUUUGGUGAGUAGCCAAAGGAAGUUCGAGGCAAUAACA